AAUCGUUGCUACACGAAGAACCUUACCUGGGUUUGACAUAUAGGUUGUAGGGAACUGAAAAGGGACCGACCUUCGGGAGCUUAGUACAGGUGUUGCAUGGCUGUCGUCAGCUCGUGUCGUGAGAUGUUCGGUUAAGUCCGCUAACGAGCGCAACCCUCGCCGUAUGUUACAAGUGUCAUACGGGACUGCCGGUAAAAGCCGGAGGAAGGUGAGGAUGAUGUCAAGUCAGCAUGACCUUUAUAUCCAGGGCUACACACACGCUACAAUGGUCUGUACAAUUGGUUGCCAAGCCGCGAGGCGGAGCCAAUCCGUAAAGCAGGCCUCAGUUCAGAUUGCAGUCUGCAACUCGACUGCAUGAAGCCGGAGUUGCUAGUAACCGCAGGUCAGCAAUACUGCGGUGAAUACGUUCCCGGGUCUU
Molecule: ribosomal RNA, 418 nt
Filed under: uncultured Anaerolineaceae bacterium
Lineage: Bacteria; Bacillati; Chloroflexota; Anaerolineae; Anaerolineales; Anaerolineaceae
Description: bacterial SSU rRNA
Rfam family: Bacterial small subunit ribosomal RNA
Source: RNAcentral